UAAACUAGGAUUAGAUACCCUAUUAUAAAGAAUUUAGGUUUGUUAUCAGAGUAGUAAUAGUUAAGAUCUUGAAACUCAAAAAAUUUGGCGGUAUUUUAGUCUAUUUAGAGGAACCUGUAAUGUAAUCGAUAAUCCACGUUGAAUCUAACUUAAUUUUGUAAAUUUUCAAUUUGUAUACCGCCGUUUUUGAAAAUUUUAUAAGAAUAAUAAUUUUCAGAAGUUUUUAUAAAAACAUAAGUCAGGUCAAGGUGCAGUUUAUAAUUAAGGUUUAUAUGGGUUACAAUAAAUUUAUUUAUGCGGAAUAUGGAAUGAAAUUUUCAUAUAAAGAUGGAUUUAAUAGUAAAUUUUUGUAGAUAGUAAUUUUGAUUAUAGCUCUAGAAUAUGCACACAUCG
This 393-nucleotide ribosomal RNA is filed under the name Medetera grisescens. RNAcentral's name for it is "partial 12S ribosomal RNA". Lineage: Eukaryota; Metazoa; Arthropoda; Insecta; Diptera; Dolichopodidae. The record is from RNAcentral.